AAUAUUGCACAAUGGGGGAAACCCUGAUGCAGCAACGCCGCGUGAGUGAUGACGGUCUUCGGAUUGUAAAGCUCUGUCUUUAGGGACGAUAAUGACGGUACCUAAGGAGGAAGCUACGGCUAACUACGUGCCAGCAGCCGCGGUAAUACGUAGGUGGCAAGCGUUGUCCGGAUUUACUGGGCGUAAAGGGAGCGUAGGUGGAUAUUUAAGUGGGAUGUGAAAUACCCGGGCUUAACCUGGGUGCGGCAUUCCAAACUGGAUAUCUAGAGUGCAGGAGAGGAAAGGAGAAUUCCUAGUGUAGCGGUGAAAUGCGUAGAGAUUAGGAAGAAUACCAGUGGCGAAGGCGCCUUUCUGGACUGUAACUGACACUGAGGCUCGAAAGCGUGGGGAGCAAAC
This 396-nucleotide ribosomal RNA is filed under the name uncultured bacterium. RNAcentral's name for it is "partial 16S ribosomal RNA". It matches the Rfam family "Bacterial small subunit ribosomal RNA", at positions 360 to 773 of the family's 1533-position model. The record is from RNAcentral.